This 73-nucleotide transfer RNA is filed under the name Actinomadura sp. DC4. RNAcentral describes it as "tRNA-Leu". It matches the Rfam family "tRNA". From Rfam's summary of the family: Transfer RNA (tRNA) molecules are approximately 80 nucleotides in length. Their secondary structure includes four short double-helical elements and three loops (D, anti-codon, and T loops). Lineage: Bacteria; Bacillati; Actinomycetota; Actinomycetes; Streptosporangiales; Thermomonosporaceae. The record is from RNAcentral.
GCCCCCGUAGCCCAAUGGUAGAGGCGAACCCUUUAAAAGGGUUAGGUUGUCGGUUCAAAUCCGACCGGGGGUA